This is a long non-coding RNA of Cheilinus undulatus (humphead wrasse), 652 nucleotides long. RefSeq lists it as uncharacterized. The record is from RefSeq and is a predicted model, not a curated record. NCBI's taxonomy places the organism in Eukaryota, Metazoa, Chordata, Actinopteri, Labriformes, Labridae. The transcript is spliced from 4 exons.
GACAGGUUGAUAUCCCACAAGUGUGAUAGUCUUGGAGUUACACUGUGAUGUACUAUGCUCCUUUAUGAAGCUCCAAAGAUUUAUAUCUUUUUUUUCUUUUUUUAAAUUUCAGGUCAAGGCAAUCCAAACCCUCCAAAAACACCAGAAUCACGAGCAGCUCCAGGUCCACAAUGUUCCUACACGGUCUCAACCAUCAACUUUGGCUUCCAGAUUGACAUAACAAGCUCCAUCCCUGGUAACUACACCAUAAGUGCUACUGAAACGGCCCAUCCUCAGAUAAGAAAGGGAAAAGUCGUUAAGCAUUCCAACGGAACCUCAUCACAUGAACUCAAAUUCCUGAAGCCGUGUACUGAGUACAAGCAUGCCGUGGUGUUCAGUGACGGUGCUGGCAAUAAAACAAUUUGUGACUCCCCUCAGAACAAAACUACUGAACGCACAAGUGAAAUGAAGGAAGGAGACGUUAAAGAUGGUCGCUGUCCUAUCUCAGGAUACGUUUGUUACAGGAGUGGUUGGAACCUCGGCUCUUCAAUUUCAGCAUCUAAUAAUGUUCCAGCUGAGCAAUGUUCCAGUGACCCACAAGAGUUCUGCAUCAAACCUGGUAGAGAUGAUAUCUGCACAACUUUGACUACAACCUUCAAGUCAGGAAACUGUA